AGUCGAACGGAGUAGCAAUACUUAGUGGCAAACGGGUGCGUAACGCGUAAGCAACCUGCCCACAACCGGGGGAUAGCCUGGCGAAAGCCGGGGUAAACCCGCAUGGUUCCCCUGAGUUGCAUAGCUUAUGGGAUAAACAUUUAUGGGUUGUGGAGGGGCUUGCGUCUGAUUAGGUAGUUGGUGGGGUAGUGGCCCACCAAGCCGAUGAUCAGUAGGGGUUCUGAGAGGAUUGGCCCCCACAUGGGUACUGAGAUACGGACCCAACUCCUACGGGAGGCAGCAGUAGGGAAUAUUGGGCAAUGGGCGCAAGCCUGACCCAGCCAUGCCGCGUGCAGGACGAAGGCGCUCAGCGUCGUAAACUGCUUUUAUCUACGAAGAACUGUGUCCCUGCGGGGGUAUUUGACGGUAGUAGAGGAAUAAGCACCGGCUAACUCCGUGCCAGCAGCCGCGGUAAUACGGAGGGUGCGAGCGUUGUCCGGAUUUAUUGGGUUUAAAGGGUGCGUAGGUGGGUAGCGAAGUCUGGUUUGAAAGCAGGUGGCUCAACCAUCUGAUGUGGCUGGAAACUGGUUAUCUUGAAUGGGUUGGCGGUAGCCGGAACGGGUCAUGUAGCGGUGAAAUGCAUAGAUAUGACCCAGAACACCGAUUGCGAAGGCAGGCUACUACGACUUGAUUGACACUGAGGCACGAGAGCAUGG
RNAcentral lists this ribosomal RNA (695 nucleotides) under uncultured Bacteroidota bacterium. Its description in RNAcentral is "bacterial SSU rRNA". It matches the Rfam family "Bacterial small subunit ribosomal RNA", at positions 60 to 764 of the family's 1533-position model. The record is from RNAcentral. Lineage: Bacteria; Pseudomonadati; Bacteroidota.